CAUGCAAGUCGAACGCUUCUUUCCUCCCGAGUGCUUGCACUCAAUUGGAAAGAGGAGUGGCGGACGGGUGAGUAACACGUGGGUAACCUACCCAUCAGAGGGGGAUAACACUUGGAAACAGGUGCUAAUACCGCAUAACAGUUUAUGCCGCAUGGCAUAAGAGUGAAAGGCGCUUUCGGGUGUCGCUGAUGGAUGGACCCGCGGUGCAUUAGCUAGUUGGUGAGGUAACGGCUCACCAAGGCCACGAUGCAUAGCCGACCUGAGAGGGUGAUCGGCCACACUGGGACUGAGACACGGCCCAGACUCCUACGGGAGGCAGCAGUAGGGAAUCUUCGGCAAUGGACGAAAGUCUGACCGAGCAACGCCGCGUGAGUGAAGAAGGUUUUCGGAUCGUAAAACUCUGUUGUUAGAGAAGAACAAGGACGUUAGUAACUGAACGUCCCCUGACGGUAUCUAACCAGAAAGCCACGGCUAACUACGUGCCAGCAGCCGCGGUAAUACGUAGGUGGCAAGCGUUGUCCGGAUUUAUUGGGCGUAAAGCGAGCGCAGGCGGUUUCUUAAGUCUGAUGUGAAAGCCCCCGGCUCAACCGGGGAGGGUCAUUGGAAACUGGGAGACUUGAGUGCAGAAGAGGAGAGUGGAAUUCCAUGUGUAGCGGUGAAAUGCGUAGAUAUAUGGAGGAACACCAGUGGCGAAGGCGGCUCUCUGGUCUGUAACUGACGCUGAGGCUCGAAAGCGUGGGGAGCAAACAGGAUUAGAUACCCCUGGUAGUCCACGCCGUAAACGAUGAGUGCUAAGUGUUGGAGGGUUUCCGCCCUUCAGUGCUGCAGCAAACGCAUUAAGCACUCCGUCCUGGGGAGUACUGACCGCAAG
RNAcentral lists this ribosomal RNA (871 nucleotides) under uncultured low G+C Gram-positive bacterium. RNAcentral's name for it is "bacterial SSU rRNA". It matches the Rfam family "Bacterial small subunit ribosomal RNA", at positions 54 to 892 of the family's 1533-position model. Lineage: Bacteria; Bacillati; Bacillota. The record is from RNAcentral.